GAUGAACGCUGGCUGUGUGCCUAAUACAUGCAUGUCGAACGAAGCACUUGUGCUUAGUGGCGAAUGGGUGAGUAACACGUACUUAAUCUACCUCAUAGUUUGGGACAACAUUUAGAAAUGAAUGCUAAUACCGAAUAUACCUUUUUAUCGCAUGAUAGAUUGGUAAAAGGAGCGUUUGCUCCGCUACGGGAUGAGAGUGCGGUACAUUAGUUAGUUGGUAGGGUAAUGGCCUACCAAGACGAUGAUGUAUAGCGGGGUUGAGAAGCUGAACCGCCACACUGGGACUGAGAUACGGCCCAGACUCCUACGGGAGGCAGCAGUAGGGAAUAUUCCACAAUGAGCGAAAGCUUGAUGGAGCGACACAGCGUGCAGGAUGAAGGUCUUCGGAUUGUAAACUGCUGUUAUAAGGGAAGAAACACCAGACUAGGAAAUGAGUUUGGCUUGACGGUACCUUAUCAGAAAGCACCGGCAAACUAUGUGCCA
RNAcentral lists this ribosomal RNA (483 nucleotides) under uncultured bacterium. RNAcentral describes it as "bacterial SSU rRNA". It matches the Rfam family "Bacterial small subunit ribosomal RNA", at positions 28 to 510 of the family's 1533-position model. The record is from RNAcentral.